This 24-nucleotide non-coding RNA is filed under the name Arabidopsis thaliana (thale cress). Lineage: Eukaryota; Viridiplantae; Streptophyta; Magnoliopsida; Brassicales; Brassicaceae. The record is from RNAcentral.
UAUCUGAUAUCCAUUCGGUCCCCA